Molecule: ribosomal RNA, 782 nt
Filed under: uncultured Neocallimastigales
Lineage: Eukaryota; Fungi; Neocallimastigomycota; Neocallimastigomycetes; Neocallimastigales
Description: partial large subunit ribosomal RNA
Rfam family: Eukaryotic large subunit ribosomal RNA
Source: RNAcentral
UCAGACGAUGCGUCAUGCAUAUCAAUAAGCGAAGGAAAAGAAACUAACAAGGAUUCCCUUAGUAACGGCGAGUGAAGCGGGAAGAGCUCAAAUUUGAAAUCUUCAAGGCUUUACCUUGACGAAUUGUAGUUUAAAGAAGUGUUUUCUGUUGAAGUUUUGGUAAAAGUUCUUUGGAAUAGGACAUCAUAGAGGGUGAGAAUCCCGUAUUUGACCAUUAUUUUCAGCUGUGUGAUACACUUUCAAAGAGUCGGAUUGUUUGGGAAUGCAGUCCAAAAUGGGUGGUAAAUUUCAUCUAAAGCUAAAUAUUGGCGAGAGACCGAUAGCGAACAAGUACCGUGAGGGAAAGAUGAAAAGAACUUUGAAAAGAGAGUUAAACAGUACGUGAAAUUGUCAAAAGGGAAGCGUUUGACACCAGUGUUGUUUUCUCGGAAGGAAAAUCAAUUAAAAAGAGUUGGAUUUUGUGUUGUAUUGACCUUAUCAGCUUUCUGCACUCUUUUCCUGUCUUUUUUAAUGCACUUUUCGUUUAACAAGUCAACAUCAAUUUCUUUUGUUAUAAAAGGGUCAUUGGAAGGUGGCUUUCUCUUCGGAGAAAGUGUUUAUAGCCUUUGAUCUCUGCAAUCGGAGAGACUGAGGUCUGCAGCGUAGAUCCUUCGGGGUUAGAUACAUUUGUGCUAAGCUACUAGCUUUCAUAGACAACUUGUUGACUAUGAUUUAGUCAUUGUAGCUUACCUCGCUUAUGCUAUUUUACCUACGCUUAGGAUGUUGAUAUGCAUGACUGAUAU